GACGAACGCUGGCGGCGUGCCUAAUACAUGCAGGUAGAACGCUGAAGGAGGAGCUUGCUUCUCUGGAUGAGUUGCGAACGGGUGAGUAACGCGUAGGUAACCUACCUGGUAGCGGGGGAUAACUAUUGGAAACGAUAGCUAAUACCGCAUAAGAGUAGAUGUUGCAUGACAUUUGCUUAAAAGGUGCAAUUGCAUCACUACCAGAUGGACCUGCGUUGUAUUAGCUAGUUGGUGAGGUAACGGCUCACCAAGGCAACGAUACAUAGCCGACCUGAGAGGGUGAUCGGCCACACUGGGACUGAGACACGGCCCAGACUCCUACGGGAGGCAGCAGUAGGGAAUCUUCGGCAAUGGACGGAAGUCUGACCGAGCAACGCCGCGUGAGUGAAGAAGGUUUUCGGAUCGUAAAGCUCUGUUGUAAGAGAAGAACGAGUGUGAGAGUGGAAAGUUCACAC
RNAcentral lists this ribosomal RNA (455 nucleotides) under Streptococcus mitis. Its description in RNAcentral is "bacterial SSU rRNA". It matches the Rfam family "Bacterial small subunit ribosomal RNA", at positions 28 to 469 of the family's 1533-position model. Lineage: Bacteria; Bacillati; Bacillota; Bacilli; Lactobacillales; Streptococcaceae. The record is from RNAcentral.